Molecule: transfer RNA, 62 nt
Filed under: Staphylinoidea sp. 12 KM-2017
Lineage: Eukaryota; Metazoa; Arthropoda; Insecta; Coleoptera
Description: tRNA-Gly
Source: RNAcentral
AACUAUAUAGUAUAAAUAUUAUAUUUAACUUCCAAUUAAAAGAUCUUAAAUAAGUAUAGUUA